CGAGAAAGUGGAGCAUCCAUGAGUAAAGUGGCGCACGGGUGAGUAACACGUGACUAACCUACCCUGGAGUGGGGGAUAACUGAGGGAAACCUUAGCUAAUACCGCAUAACACCUACGGGUCAAAGGAGCAAUUCGCUUCAGGAGGGGGUCGCGGCAGAUUAGUUAGUUGGCGGGGUAACGGCCCACCAAGACAGUGAUCUGUAUCCGGCCUGAGAGGGCGCACGGACACACUGGAACUGAAACACGGUCCAGACUCCUACGGGAGGCAGCAGUGGGGAAUUUUGCGCAAUGGGGGAAACCCUGACGCAGCAACGCCGCGUGGAGGAUGAAGUCCUUCGGGACGUAAACUCCUUUCGAUCGGGACGAUAAUGACGGUACCGAGAGAAGAAGCCCCGGCUAACUUCGUGCCAGCAGCCGCGGUAAUACGAGGGGGGCGAGCGUUGUUCGGAAUUAUUGGGCGUAAAGGGUGCGUAGGCGGUUUGGUAAGUCUGAUGUGAAAUCUAUGGGCUCAACUCAUAGUCUGCAUCGGAAACUGCCGGGCUUGAGUAUGGGAGAGGUGAGUGGAAUUCCUGGUGUAGCGGUGAAAUGCGUAGAUAUCAGGAGGAACACCUGUGGCGAAAGCGGCUCACUGGACCAUAACUGACGCUGAUGCACGAAAGCUAGGGGAGCAAACAGGAUUAGAUACCCUGGUAGUCCUAGCCCUAAACGAUGACUGCUUGGUGUGACGGGUACCCAAUCCCGCCGUGCCGUAGCUAACGCGUUAAGCAG
Molecule: ribosomal RNA, 768 nt
Filed under: uncultured bacterium
Lineage: Bacteria
Description: bacterial SSU rRNA
Rfam family: Bacterial small subunit ribosomal RNA
Source: RNAcentral